GGAGGUUUAGCUCAGCUGGGAGAGCACCUGCCUUACAAGCAGGGGGUCACAGGUUCGAACCCUGUAAUCUCCA
The sequence is a transfer RNA, 73 nucleotides long. It matches the Rfam family "tRNA". Rfam says of the family: Transfer RNA (tRNA) molecules are approximately 80 nucleotides in length. Their secondary structure includes four short double-helical elements and three loops (D, anti-codon, and T loops). Further hydrogen bonds mediate the characteristic L-shaped molecular structure. tRNAs have two regions of fundamental functional importance: the anti-codon, which is responsible for specific mRNA codon recognition, and the 3' end, to which the tRNAs corresponding amino acid is attached (by aminoacyl-tRNA synthetases). tRNAs cope with the degeneracy of the genetic code in two manners: having more than one tRNA (with a specific anti-codon) for a particular amino acid; and 'wobble' base-pairing, i.e. permitting non-standard base-pairing at the 3rd anti-codon position. The record is from Rfam.